This 253-nucleotide ribosomal RNA is filed under the name uncultured bacterium. Its description in RNAcentral is "partial 16S ribosomal RNA". It matches the Rfam family "Bacterial small subunit ribosomal RNA", at positions 524 to 776 of the family's 1533-position model. The record is from RNAcentral.
UACGGAGGAUGCAAGCGUUAUCCGGAAUGAUUGGGCGUAAAGCGUCCGCAGGUGGCAAUGUAAGUCUGCUGUCAAAGCGUCUGACUCAACCAGAUAAAGGCAGUGGAAACUACAUAGCUAGAGUAAGGUAGGGGUAGAGGGAAUUCCUGGUGUAGCGGUGAAAUGCGUAGAGAUCAGGAAGAACACCGGUGGCGAAAGCGCUCUGCUGGACCUUAACUGACACUGAGGGACGAAAGCUAGGGGAGCGAAUGGG